UGGGGAAUCUUGCACAAUGGGGGCAACCCUGAUGCAGCGACGCCGCGUGAGCGAUGAAGCCCUUCGGGGCGUAAAGCUCUUUCGACCGGAACGAUAAUGACGGUACCGGGAGAAGAAGCUGCGGCUAACUACGUGCCAGCAGCCGCGGUAAUACGUAGGCAGCAAGCGUUGUUCGGAGUUACUGGGCGUAAAGAGUGCGUAGGCGGUUUUCUAAGUUCGGUGUGAAAUCUCCCGGCUUAACUGGGAGGGUGCGCCGAAGACUGGGAAGCUGGAGUGUGGGAAAGGCAGGCGGAAUUCCUGGUGUAGCGGUGAAAUGCGUAGAUAUCAGGAGGAACACCGGCGGUGUAGACGGCUUGCUAGACCAUAACGGACGCUGAGGCACGAAAGCGUGGGUAGCAAACA
This 402-nucleotide ribosomal RNA is filed under the name uncultured bacterium. RNAcentral's name for it is "bacterial SSU rRNA". It matches the Rfam family "Bacterial small subunit ribosomal RNA", at positions 355 to 774 of the family's 1533-position model. The record is from RNAcentral.